Long non-coding RNA from Daktulosphaira vitifoliae (grape phylloxera), 438 nucleotides. RefSeq lists it as uncharacterized. The transcript has 4 exons. The record is from RefSeq and is a predicted model, not a curated record. NCBI's taxonomy places the organism in Eukaryota, Metazoa, Arthropoda, Insecta, Hemiptera, Phylloxeridae.
UAAACCAAAGCAAAUGGCUAAGACACCUAAAUUCAUGUAGCAGAAAAAGAAAAUCUACCAGUACAACAACCAGCAACAUAAAAAAGUUCUUUUCAUCGACGAAUUCAUUCUCCACAACAAAUCUGGAUCUAGACCUAGAACAAAAUCCAAAUAAACCAAAUGAUGGUGGUUUAACAGAGAACUUUUUAAACAAUAGUGAGUGUAGUGAACAAAGCAACCAUAGUUUCAAAGUUAACUCGGGGCCGAAAACGAAUUUUCACGUCGGCAUAGACAAAGAAAAAGAGGAUAAUAUAUCCCAUUUGGACUCCAAAGACAACAUAUCUGACCCAGUCACUUCAACUGGUUUACAUGAAAUCGUUCACCCUGUGUGGCAAGCCAAUCGAUUUGAUAUUGGGAUCACAAACCGAAAUUUGCUAGAUGACACCACGAAAAAAAAUG